GCGCCCUUAGCUCAGUUGGAUAGAGUGUUGGUUUCCGAAGCCAAAGGUCAGUGGUUCGAAUCCACUAGGGCGCGCCA
RNAcentral lists this transfer RNA (77 nucleotides) under Betaproteobacteria bacterium. Its description in RNAcentral is "tRNA-Arg". It matches the Rfam family "tRNA". From Rfam's summary of the family: Transfer RNA (tRNA) molecules are approximately 80 nucleotides in length. Their secondary structure includes four short double-helical elements and three loops (D, anti-codon, and T loops). The record is from RNAcentral. Lineage: Bacteria; Pseudomonadati; Pseudomonadota; Betaproteobacteria.